RNAcentral lists this ribosomal RNA (478 nucleotides) under uncultured Planctomycetales bacterium. Its description in RNAcentral is "bacterial SSU rRNA". It matches the Rfam family "Bacterial small subunit ribosomal RNA", at positions 364 to 832 of the family's 1533-position model. The record is from RNAcentral. Lineage: Bacteria; Pseudomonadati; Planctomycetota; Planctomycetia; Planctomycetales.
UUUCGCAAUGCCCGAAAGGGUGACGAAGCGACGCCGCGUGUGGGAAGAAGGCCUUCGGGUUGUAAACCACUGUCGGGAGUUAAGAAAUGUAAGGAUGUUAAUAGCGUCCUUACUUGACUAAGGCUCCGGAGGAAGCCACGGCUAACUCUGUACCAGCAGCCGCGGUAAUACAGAGGCGGCAAGUGUUGUUCGGAAUUAUUGGGCGUAAAGAGCACGUAGGCGGCCCUGAAAGUCAGUUGUGAAAGCCUUCUGCCUAACGGAAGAACAGCAGCUGAUACUGCAAGACUAGAGUGCGGAAGGGGAGAGUGGAACUUCUGGUGGAGCGGUGAAAUGCGUAGAUAUCAGAAGGAACACCGGCGGCGAAAGCGGCUCUCGGGCCCGUAACUGACGCUGAGUGUGCGAAAGCUAGGGGAUCAAACGGGAUUAGAUACCCCGGUAGUCCUAGCCGUAAACGAUGGGCACUAAGUAGAGGGGUUUU